Molecule: long non-coding RNA, 884 nt
Organism: Suricata suricatta (meerkat)
Lineage: Eukaryota; Metazoa; Chordata; Mammalia; Carnivora; Herpestidae
Exons: 3
Source: RefSeq, a predicted model, not a curated record
AAGCUCGCCUCUCUGCUCAAUGUCUGAAUGAGACUUGAGCGGGAAGGUGGCGGAGUUCUUCCUUUCGUCUUUCCCACAAGGAGGGGGAACCUUGGUCCAGCUCCCUCGGCGCGAUAUUACCGAUAUUCUCCCCAUCAGGUGGAUCUGGAGCGGCAACUCGCGAGGCCUUAAAAGAACAGCAGGCAGCCGGUUGCUUUUCGCUGCAACCUGGAGUAAGGCCUGCGGGAACUACGCGACCCAGAGUGCAGCGGGUGCGGCUCCCGGCAUGCUCGGCGGCGGAAUUCCCGCCGAGCCGCCGCCGCUCGCUCCGCCGCCGCUUCAGCGCUGCCGCGAGCCCCGGCCCUCCUCCCGCCGCGGCUUACGCGCUCACGGAGUGCCGGGGAGGGCCGGUCGCCGAGGCCUUCUCCAUGAGAGUCAGAGGAGGCCCUCUCCCACUGGAUGAAGCACAAAUCUCCGGCUCUUUAACUAACAUACAGAAAUUUUCGUCUUGCCACCUACAGAUCUGAAACCUGAAGUGAUUCGAUCGCCUUUUCAUCAAUAACAAAGAAUGCCCUCGCUACAGUGUUCAUUAGUGGUUGGUUGGAUAAACAAGAUGUGGUACGCACGCGCAAAGGAGUGUGGUUCCGUCUUAAAGAGGAUGGAAAGUCGGACGCGUCCUCCAUGAUGGAUAAACCCGGAAGACAUUACGCUAAGUGAGACAAGCCAGUCAUAAAAGGACACACUUUAUGAUCCCAUUUAUUUGUGCUGUCUGGAGUGGUCAAACUUGUAGAGAUGGAAAGUAACGUGGUGGCUGCCAGGGAUAGGGGUGACAAAGUUCUGGAGAUAAACGGCAGUGAACGCUGCACAAAAUGUGAAUGUACUUAACGCCUCUGAAUCGUACACUU